Molecule: non-coding RNA, 1228 nt
Organism: Sesamum indicum (sesame)
Lineage: Eukaryota; Viridiplantae; Streptophyta; Magnoliopsida; Lamiales; Pedaliaceae
Source: RefSeq, a predicted model, not a curated record
UCUUUCUUUUUCUUUCUCUCUUUCUCUUUCUAUCUCCAUUCUUUCUCCUCUCUCAUUUCUUCCCCAAACCAAUCUCUUAGAACCCUAGCCUCAAAAUCAAGGCAACAAGGACAGUAGCUGGAAAUUGCCCAUUUUGUCAAGUGGGAGAUGAAUCAUAGUUUCAUUAAGUAUCAAUAUUACUCUGCUAUUCUGUUCAUCUAGCGAUCUCUUAUGCACCGAUGUGGUCUGUGCCUUUUUUUUUUCCACUUUACCUGCCUUGUUUCUAUGGAUAUUAAUAGCCCCAAAAUCACGGCAACAACGACGGCAAGUCGGCGACGAGUAUGGGUUCCAAGUAAUUCUUCUUUUUCUAUUGCAUUUUACUUAUUCUUAUUUUUCUUGGGUUUGAGUGCUAUUUUCUAUAACCAAAACAAGUUGAAGAAAGGGUGAAAGUUGUAAAAGUUCAUGACUGUUGUAGCAGUUUAUAUGUAAGAUUAAAGUCAAUAUCUGUCAAGUUGAAGAAAGGGUGAAGGUGUUUGUUGAAAUGCCUCAUUGAACGCCUCUAUUCGAAUCGUUUUGACUUUGCAAAGUCCGAAGCCCAGCGUACCAUUCAGCUUCAAGAGAAAUUGGGAAAGCUUAAAGGGGAAUUAAGAGAAGCUGAGGAUGCUUUAGUGAAGGCUCUUGCUGAUGGCAAAGGAGACUCGGUGUCUUUCGCCAGCUAAUAUGCCAUUAAGGUGCUAUUUUUUUAAAUGACUUACAAUUAAGUGUUUCUGUUUCACAUUAUACACUGGCAUCUCUAUCAGUAACUGAAAUAGAUGGUUCGAUAACAAAACACACUGGUGGUUCUAAUCCUGUAGGGGCACAUAGGCCAAAAAAUGGAAAAAGAACUUGGUAAAGAAGUGACUAAUCUUGAAGAAGCUCGAAAGAAGGAGGAAGAGGCUGGGAAGAGGGAGGAUGAGGCUAGGAAGAGGGAGGCAGACCUACAAGAAUUAGUUCGAAAAUUACUUCAAGAUGUAGGAUACGCAAACCAUCAAUUUGCUGGUGGGUCUGGACAACAAGAGUAACAACAUUCCAGGAAAGAUAAUUAGUUUAUUUUUUAUGUUGGUUGUUUAUGACUUAGUGUAUGUUGAUUUGAUAUUAUUUGGUAAUAUUUGGAUGAUGACAUCAAUUAUAUUAGUGUUAUUGUAUUAUAAGUAUCUUUUUUGUUAAUAUUUGUUGUUCUUGUUUGGGAAAUUCAGAUUUUGGUAUUGAU